CCUACGGGUGGCAGCAGUGGGGAAUAUUGCGCAAUGGGCGAAAGCCUGACGCAGCGACGCCGCGUGAGGGAUGAAGGUCUUCGGAACGUAAACCUCUGUCAGCAGGGAAGAACGGUCACUGGGCUAAUCAGCAGUGAAUGGACGGUACCUGCAAAGGAAGCACCGGCUAACGCCGUCCCAGCAGCCGCGGUAACACGGAGGGUUCGAGCGUGACUCGGAAUUACUAGGCGUAACUCGCUCGUAGGCGGUAUGUCCAGUCUAGGGUGAAAUCCCCGCGCGCAACGUGGGAACUGCCUUUGAAACUUGCAAACUGGAGUGUGUGAUAGGCUACU
Molecule: ribosomal RNA, 332 nt
Filed under: uncultured bacterium
Lineage: Bacteria
Description: partial 16S ribosomal RNA
Rfam family: Bacterial small subunit ribosomal RNA
Source: RNAcentral